GCGCGAAACCUUUACAAUGCACGAAAGUGUGAUAAGGGGAUCCCAAGUGCCCAUGUAUUGCAUGGUCUUUUGCCAAGAGUAAACACCUUGGCGAAUAAGUGGUGGGAAAGACUGGUGCCAGCAGCCGCGGUAACACCAGCGCCACAAGUGGCAAUCACAAUUAUUGGGCCUAAAGCGUCCGUAGCCGGUUUGAUAAAUCUUUUGUGAAAUCAUGGGGCUUAACUCCAUGUCGUGCAGGAGACACUAUCAGACUUGGAACCGGGAGGAGUCAGAGGUAUUCUGGUGGGAGCGGUAAAAUGUUAUAAUCCCCGGAGGACCACCUGUGGCGAAGGCGUCUGACUAGAACGGAUUCGACGGUGAGGGACGAAAGCUGGGGGAGCAAACCGGAUUAGAUACGACCUUUAGCCGUCAAGACUAUGUCUUGACUAUAAAGCUCGAGCAAAUCCACUUAAGUACAACGAAUUUCUUUCAGAAAUUGUUGUACGAACUACGUUUGCAGUAAAAAAAUACUGUGGUGAGUGGAUGUGAGAUUUUUAUGGCUAAUUGUUGCUAAUGACCCGAGUAGUCCCAGCAGUAAACGCUGCGAGCUAGGUGUUGCAUAUUCUUCGUGGGUAUGCAGUGUCGGAGCGAAGGUGUUAAGCUCGCCGCCUGGGAAGUACGGUCGCAAGACUGAAACUUAAAGGAAUUGG
RNAcentral lists this ribosomal RNA (689 nucleotides) under uncultured euryarchaeote. RNAcentral describes it as "bacterial SSU rRNA". It matches the Rfam family "Archaeal small subunit ribosomal RNA", at positions 339 to 868 of the family's 1478-position model. Lineage: Archaea; Methanobacteriati; Methanobacteriota. The record is from RNAcentral.